CAGGACGAACGCUGGCGGCGUGCCUAACACAUGCAAGUCGAGCGGGGACAUGGAAGUAGCAAUACGGAAAUGUCUAGCGGCGGACGGGUGAGUAACGCGUGAGCAACCUGUCCCAGUCAGGGGGAUAACGAGCCGAAAGGCUCCCUAAUACCGCAUGAGACCACAGCAUCACAUGGUGCAGGGGUCAAAGGAGAGAUCCGGACUGGGGUGGGCUCGCGUCUGAUUAGCUAGUUGGUGAGGUAAAGGCCCACCAAGGCGACGAUCAGUAGCCGACCUGAGAGGGUGAUCGGCCACAUUGGAACUGAGACACGGUCCAAACUCCUACGGGAGGCAGCAGUGGGGAAUAUUGGGCAAUGGGGGAAACCCUGACCCAGCAACGCCGCGUGAAGGAAGAAGGUCUUCGGAUCGUAAACUUCUAUCCUUGGUGAAGAUAAUGACGGUAGCCGAGAAGGAAGCCCCGGCUAACUACGUGCCAGCAGCGGC
RNAcentral lists this ribosomal RNA (483 nucleotides) under uncultured bacterium. RNAcentral's name for it is "bacterial SSU rRNA". It matches the Rfam family "Bacterial small subunit ribosomal RNA", at positions 25 to 518 of the family's 1533-position model. The record is from RNAcentral.